This 1058-nucleotide unclassified non-coding RNA is filed under the name Diabrotica virgifera virgifera (western corn rootworm). RNAcentral's name for it is "uncharacterized LOC126891107". Lineage: Eukaryota; Metazoa; Arthropoda; Insecta; Coleoptera; Chrysomelidae. The record is from RNAcentral.
AAACCACGGUUCUUAGACUAUACUACGGUAGCCUAAAUCGACUAACCAAUGAACAUUAAGGGCGCGAUUACGUCACGAGAGUUUAGUAAUUUGAAUCAUAAUAUGAUUAAUCGGUAUUUUUUGUAUGGAAAAUAGUAAAGAUAGUUAUGAAAUAAAGAUAUUUAGUGGAUUAUAAUACCUAAUUAUGAAAAACUUUUGAUUUUUGUGUGGUCUGGUACCCCUACCACAGUGGGAUAGAAAUCUUGAGCUUCCCUGGCCCCUUUCGCUUGGAGGUGCUGUGCUAGGUGCUAGUAGUCACAAACACGAAACACAUCAACAAGUCACGUUCGUAAGAGUUCGUUGCGCAUGAUUCAUUUUCCGUCAUUUUGUUUAUGAUUUUGUCCUGUUUUGUUUUUUUUUUUAAAUAGAGGUAAUUUUAUGACCAGUGAUAUGGCUAAGACAGAUAGACUAUUAUUGAAAUGGAACAACAUACAAUAAUAUGUAGAACAUGUUGUGUUGGUGGUUGUGCCUUCUCCACAUCGAUUACGUUUUCCAGAGAUGAAAUGGACAUGUUCUUGGAAGGGUUGAAACUUAUUCAAAGCAUUUUAAAGAAGAUUUUAGGAUACAUGAGAGUUCGAACAAGAGGAAUUACCAAAGGGGCCAUCCCAAGCUCAUUUUUACCACCACUAGGAAUAUGCAAAAGACCUAUGCAUGAGUUAAAAGAAAUGACCAGAGACAGAGAUCUUUUUAGACAGACAAUAUAUGAUAUCACGUCGACCACUACACUCCCUCCUGGGGGUCAGGAUUGAAGAGAGAGAUUAUCAGGAUGAAAAGGCUACUGAAGAAUCUCAAUUUAUUGACAUGCAUGGUCAGAGUCAAUAGAUGCCUAGGCUCAAAAUGGGACCCAUUUCCAUUGAGUAUAACGUGGAUCCCUGCACAAGGAUAUACGUGAAGACCAGAAUGGUAGCAGUCACGUAUAAAAUAUAUCUAUGAUAUGAUACUUCUGUAAUUCCAUACAAAUUUUGAUUGCUCAAGUAAUUUUAUAAAGUAAUUUACAGAAAUAAAUAACUUUUUAAGAA